UACGUAGGGUGCAAGCGUUGUCCGGAAUUAUUGGGCGUAAAGAGCGUGUAGGCGGUUCGGUAGGUCCGUUGUGAAAACUCGAGGCUCAACCUCGAGACGCCGAUGGAAACCAUCGAACUAGAGUCCGGAAGAGGAGAGUGGAAUUCCUGGUGUAGCGGUGGAAUGCGCAGAUAUCAGGAGGAACACCCGUAGCGAAGGCGGCACUCUGGGCCGAUACUGACACUGAGGAGCGAAAGCGUGGGGAGCGAACAGG
This 253-nucleotide ribosomal RNA is filed under the name uncultured bacterium. Its description in RNAcentral is "partial 16S ribosomal RNA". It matches the Rfam family "Bacterial small subunit ribosomal RNA", at positions 524 to 776 of the family's 1533-position model. The record is from RNAcentral.